RNAcentral lists this ribosomal RNA (441 nucleotides) under uncultured bacterium. Its description in RNAcentral is "bacterial SSU rRNA". It matches the Rfam family "Bacterial small subunit ribosomal RNA", at positions 21 to 507 of the family's 1533-position model. The record is from RNAcentral.
GGCUCAGAACGAACGCUGGCGGCAUGCCUAACACAUGCAAGUCGAACGAAGUCUUCGGACUUAGUGGCGCACGGGUGCGUAACGCGUGGGAAUCUGCCCUUGGGUGCGGAAUAACUUCUCGAAAGGGAUGCUAAUACCGCAUAAUGUCGUAAGACCAAAGAUUUAUCGCCCAAGGAUGAGCCCGCGUAAGAUUAGCUAGUUGGUGGGGUAAAAGCCUACCAAGGCGACGAUCUUUAGCUGGUCUGAGAGGAUGAUCAGCCACACUGGGACUGAGACACGGCCCAGACUCCUACGGGAGGCAGCAGUGGGGAAUAUUGGACAAUGGGCGAAAGCCUGAUCCAGCAAUGCCGACGUGAGUGAUGAAGGCCCUAGGGUUGUAAAGCUCUUUUACCAGGGAUGAUAAUGACAGUACCUGGAGAAUAAGCUCCGGCUAACUCCGUG